Molecule: long non-coding RNA, 857 nt
Filed under: Homo sapiens (human)
Lineage: Eukaryota; Metazoa; Chordata; Mammalia; Primates; Hominidae
Description: HSALNT0312389
Source: RNAcentral
CCCGCCUCGGCCCGGCCGGCUCCCAGACGAGCACGUGCUAUGCGCGGCCCCCCGCGCCCCCGCCUCGGGCGCCACGCAGGCAGCGCUCCCGGCGGGGCGCCCCGCUCUGCGCCGUUCCCUCCGCCGUCGCCCAGCCACCGCCUUUCGCACGCGCCGGAACCGCUUUUGUGGUCUCCGAGACACUCAUUUGCUGUCCUGGUUUCCAAAGCUCCACGUGCUCAGCGCCGAAAACUUGCAAAUCAUUUGCUGUCUAUACUGGGCGCCCGCUGCGUGCCAGGUACUGCCACCGGCUCUCUCCUCACGGUGGAAUAACUUAACAGAGAAGACAGACAUCAAUCAAAUACCCUGGAAACGUGGAAGGCAGGGGAAAGAACAAAGGGAGAGCAAAAUCGCCCCAAUCCCACAUCACCCGCGACGUGAAAGGAUUUGUCCUUCCAGCUGCGGGACUCCUAUUUGUUUAUUUCAAGUCAGAGGCCUUCCCUUUAUGCCCACAUCUGUUCCCGACCCUCUCCUCUGAUUUUCCUCACAUGUAUUUCCUCCCCUCUUCAGCCCCGCGCCAGCUCCAGGCACAGCCGUUCAGGGUGAUGCCAAAGGGAAAUGAGAACGCCUGGUUUCGAGUGCCAGCCUGAGGCCCCUUAAGCCCUAGCCUGGCUCCAAAAACUGCAGCCUGUUUCCCUCAACAAAAAUGACGUCAAGAAUACCUAGAUGUGACCACACCGAACUUGCUUGCCCGUUUUGGGAAACCCAACUUUCUUCCUGAAUAGUCAGAACCUCUGGCUUUCCUGGUCUCUUAAGAACCGCAAACUAUUGAAAAGCAGAUGCGUCUUUCAGCCUCUUUAAUAAAUGCAGUAAGGAGA